RNAcentral lists this transfer RNA (75 nucleotides) under Buchnera aphidicola (Tuberolachnus salignus). It matches the Rfam family "tRNA". From Rfam's summary of the family: Transfer RNA (tRNA) molecules are approximately 80 nucleotides in length. Their secondary structure includes four short double-helical elements and three loops (D, anti-codon, and T loops). Further hydrogen bonds mediate the characteristic L-shaped molecular structure. tRNAs have two regions of fundamental functional importance: the anti-codon, which is responsible for specific mRNA codon recognition, and the 3' end, to which the tRNAs corresponding amino acid is attached (by aminoacyl-tRNA synthetases). tRNAs cope with the degeneracy of the genetic code in two manners: having more than one tRNA (with a specific anti-codon) for a particular amino acid; and 'wobble' base-pairing, i.e. permitting non-standard base-pairing at the 3rd anti-codon position. The record is from Rfam by way of RNAcentral. Lineage: Bacteria; Pseudomonadati; Pseudomonadota; Gammaproteobacteria; Enterobacterales; Erwiniaceae.
ACGUUUGUAGCUCAAUUUGGUUAGAGCGCUACUAUGACAUAGUAGAGGUAAUCGGUUCAAAUCCGAUCAAACGUA